This 75-nucleotide transfer RNA is filed under the name Rattus norvegicus (Norway rat). It matches the Rfam family "tRNA". Rfam says of the family: Transfer RNA (tRNA) molecules are approximately 80 nucleotides in length. Their secondary structure includes four short double-helical elements and three loops (D, anti-codon, and T loops). Lineage: Eukaryota; Metazoa; Chordata; Mammalia; Rodentia; Muridae. The record is from RNAcentral.
GGGGUUGGGGAUUUAGCUCAGUGGUAGAGCGCUUGCCUAGGAAGCGCAAGGCCCUGGGUUCGAUCCCCAGCUCCA